UAAAAUACUACAAAAUAAAUUAAUUGCAUGUCGCAAUAUAUGUAGUCUGAUUGCUUCAAAUUCAACGGUCCACACUACUAUUGAAAUGUUGAAGCCAAUUGGAAACAGCCCAAUAGGUGCAGUUUGGAAGCAUGCAAUUAUUAACAAGUGACUUUUUUUUAUUAUUAUUGUUUUGUUUUGUUUUGUUUUUUUAAUGACAAGUGACUUUUUUUUAUUUAGUGUACGUGAAUUUUUUUUAUACGAAUAGAAAUCUGCAUUUUUUCUACUUAAUAGUUUAUAAUAAUUCUUUUUUUCAAUAAAUGGUAGCAAGGAAUAAUUAAUAAUAAACCUUUUCUUUAGGGGUUGGUCUAGCUAGAAGAAAUUCAUCCUGUCAAAUGAUUUUACUCCUAUUUUUUGAAGAAAUACUUAAACCGACGCCGAGCUAUAAAUGUG
This 432-nucleotide long non-coding RNA is filed under the name Salvia miltiorrhiza (redroot sage). RNAcentral's name for it is "long non-coding RNA (SMIL_LNC013996)". The record is from RNAcentral. Lineage: Eukaryota; Viridiplantae; Streptophyta; Magnoliopsida; Lamiales; Lamiaceae.